Molecule: long non-coding RNA, 1100 nt
Filed under: Homo sapiens (human)
Lineage: Eukaryota; Metazoa; Chordata; Mammalia; Primates; Hominidae
Description: HSALNT0104295
Source: RNAcentral
CUGAGAGCCUACCUGGAGGGCACGUGCGUGGAGUGGCUCCGCAGAUACCUGGAGAACGGGAAGGAGACGCUGCAGCGCGCAGAACCCCCAAAGACACACGUGACCCACCACCCCCUCUCUGACCAUGAGGCCACCCUGAGGUGCUGGGCCCUGGGCUUCUACCCUGCGGAGAUCACACUGACCUGGCAGCGGGAUGGGGAGGACCAGACCCAGGACACCGAGCUUGUGGAGACCAGGCCAGCAGGAGAUGGAACCUUCCAGAAGUGGGCAGCUGUGGUGGUGCCUUCUGGACAAGAGCAGAGAUACACGUGCCAUAUGCAGCACGAGGGGCUGCAAGAGCCCCUCACCCUGAGCUGGGGUAAGGAGGGGAAUGGGGGGUCACAUCUCUUAUCAGAGAAAGCAGAAGUCCUUCUGGAGCCCUUCAGCCGGGUCAGGGCUGAGGCUUGGGGGUCAGGGCCCCUCACCUUCUCCUCCUUUCCCAGAGCCAUCUUCCCAGCCCACCAUCCCCAUCAUGGGCAUCGUUGCUGGCCUGGCUGUCCUGGUUGUCCUAGCUGUCCUUGGAGCUGUGGUCACCGCUAUGAUGUGUAGGAGGAAGAGCUCAGGUGGAAAAGGAGGGAGCUGCUCUCAGGCUGCGUGCAGCAACAGUGCCCAGGGCUCUGAUGAGUCUCUCAUCACUUGUAAAGCCUGAGACAGCUGCCUGUGUGGGACUGAGAUGCAGGAUUUCUUCACACCUCUCCUUUGUGACUUCAAGAGCCUCUGGCAUCUCUUUCUGCAAAGGCACCUGAAUGUGUCUGCGUUCCUGUUAGCAUAAUGUGAGGAGGUGGAGAGACAGCCCACCCCCGUGUCCACCGUGACCCCUGUCCCCACACUGACCUGUGUUCCCUCCCCGAUCAUCUUUCCUGUUCCAGAGAGGUGGGGCUGGAUGUCUCCAUCUCUGUCUCAAAUUCAUGGUGCACUGAGCUGCAACUUCUUACUUCCCUAAUGAAGUUAAGAACCUGAAUAUAAAUUUGUGUUCUCAAAUAUUUGCUAUGAAGCGUUGAUGGAUUAAUUAAAUAAGUCAAUUCCUAGAAGUUGAGAGAGCAAAUAAAGACCUGAGAACC